ACUUUAGCUUGCUAGAGUUGGAAGAGUUGCGAACGGGUGAGUAACGCGUAGGUAACCUGCCUAUUAGUGGGGGAUAACUAUUGGAAACGAUAGCUAAUACCGCAUAAUAGUGUUUAACACAUGUUAGAGACUUAAAAGAUGCAAUUGCAUCACUAGUAGAUGGACCUGCGUUGUAUUAGCUAGUUGGUGGGGUAACGGCCUACCAAGGCG
This 210-nucleotide ribosomal RNA is filed under the name Streptococcus gallolyticus. RNAcentral's name for it is "partial 16S ribosomal RNA". It matches the Rfam family "Bacterial small subunit ribosomal RNA", at positions 72 to 275 of the family's 1533-position model. Lineage: Bacteria; Bacillati; Bacillota; Bacilli; Lactobacillales; Streptococcaceae. The record is from RNAcentral.